UACGGAGGGAGCUAGCGUUGUUCGGAAUUACUGGGCGUAAAGCGCACGUAGGCGGCUUUGUAAGUUAGAGGUGAAAGCCUGGAGCUCAACUCCAGAAUUGCCUUUAAGACUGCAUCGCUUGAAUCCAGGAGAGGUGAGUGGAAUUCCGAGUGUAGAGGUGAAAUUCGUAGAUAUUCGGAAGAACACCAGUGGCGAAGGCGGCUCACUGGACUGGUAUUGACGCUGAGGUGCGAAAGCGUGGGGAGCAAACAGGAUUAGAAA
This 261-nucleotide ribosomal RNA is filed under the name uncultured bacterium. RNAcentral describes it as "partial 16S ribosomal RNA". It matches the Rfam family "Bacterial small subunit ribosomal RNA", at positions 524 to 784 of the family's 1533-position model. The record is from RNAcentral.